AUGGCAUGUGGGAACGUACCUGUCAACUUAUUGCCAUUGAGAGCAGGAAUAUUUAAGAUGGCAUGUGGGAACGUACCUGUCAACUUAUUGGCACCCCCAUGGAGGAACUGCAGCUUGUGCAGCUCUGCCAAGUCACUUGGGAGAUUUCCCUCAAUGUUAUUAAACGAGAAAAUGAGCUUUCUCAGUGUUGUGAUAUUGCCGAGAGAGGAAGGGAUGGCUCCAAUGAGAUCAUUGUGGGAGAGGAAAUUGACCAGCUAG
This 258-nucleotide ribosomal RNA is filed under the name Triticum aestivum (bread wheat). RNAcentral's name for it is "partial small subunit ribosomal RNA". Lineage: Eukaryota; Viridiplantae; Streptophyta; Magnoliopsida; Poales; Poaceae. The record is from RNAcentral.